This 105-nucleotide microRNA precursor is filed under the name Marmota monax (woodchuck). Lineage: Eukaryota; Metazoa; Chordata; Mammalia; Rodentia; Sciuridae. The record is from RNAcentral.
CAACAAAUCCUCUGGGAAUCUUGUUAGAAGGCAGAUUCUGAUCCAGCAGUUCUGGGGAGGAGCCUGAGAGCCCACCUUUCUAUCAAGCUCUCAGGAGAUGCCGAU